Molecule: small nuclear RNA, 164 nt
Filed under: Carlito syrichta (Philippine tarsier)
Lineage: Eukaryota; Metazoa; Chordata; Mammalia; Primates; Tarsiidae
Description: U1 spliceosomal RNA (ENSTSYG00000029568.1)
Rfam family: U1 spliceosomal RNA
About the family: U1 is a small nuclear RNA (snRNA) component of the spliceosome (involved in pre-mRNA splicing). Its 5' end forms complementary base pairs with the 5' splice junction, thus defining the 5' donor site of an intron.
Source: Rfam by way of RNAcentral
AUACUUACCUGGCAGGGGGGAUACCAUGAUCAUGAAGGUGGUUUUCCCAGGGUUAAGCUUAUCCAUUGCACUCCAGAUCUGCUGACCUCUGCCAUUUCCCCAUAUGUGGGAAACUCGACUGCAUAAUUUGUGGUCGUGGGGGACUGCGUUCAUACUCUCCCCUG